Molecule: ribosomal RNA, 1372 nt
Filed under: uncultured bacterium
Lineage: Bacteria
Description: bacterial SSU rRNA
Rfam family: Bacterial small subunit ribosomal RNA
Source: RNAcentral
GAUGAACGCUGGCGGCGUGCCUAAUACAUGCAAGUCGAGCGAACGGACGAGAAGCUUGCUUCUCUGAUGUUAGCGGCGGACGGGUGAGUAACACGUGGAUAACCUACCUAUAAGACUGGGAUAACUUCGGGAAACCGGAGCUAAUACCGGAUAAUAUUUUGAACCGCAUGGUUCAAAAGUGAAAGACGGUCUUGCUGUCACUUAUAGAUGGAUCCGCGCUGCAUUAGCUAGUUGGUAAGGUAACGGCUUACCAAGGCAACGAUGCAUAGCCGACCUGAGAGGGUGAUCGGCCACACUGGAACUGAGACACGGUCCAGACUCCUACGGGAGGCAGCAGUAGGGAAUCUUCCGCAAUGGGCGAAAGCCUGACGGAGCAACGCCGCGUGAGUGAUGAAGGUCUUCGGAUCGUAAAACUCUGUUAUUAGGGAAGAACAUAUGUGUAAGUAACUGUGCACAUCUUGACGGUACCUAAUCAGAAAGCCACGGCUAACUACGUGCCAGCAGCCGCGGUAAUACGUAGGUGGCAAGCGUUAUCCGGAAUUAUUGGGCGUAAAGCGCGCGUAGGCGGUUUUCUAAGUCUGAUGUGAAAGUCCACGGCUCAACCGUGGAGGGUCAUUGGAAACUGGAAAACUUGAGUGCAGAAGAGGAAAGUGGAAUUCCAUGUGUAGCGGUGAAAUGCGCAGAGAUAUGGAGGAACACCAGUGGCGAAGGCGACUUUCUGGUCUGUAACUGACGCUGAUGUGCGAAAGCGUGGGGAUCAAACAGGAUUAGAUACCCUGGUAGUCCACGCCGUAAACGAUGAGUGCUAAGUGUUAGGGGGUUUCCGCCCCUUAGUGCUGCAGCUAACGCAUUAAGCACUCCGCCUGGGGAGUACGACCGCAAGGUUGAAACUCAAAGGAAUUGACGGGGACCCGCACAAGCGGUGGAGCAUGUGGUUUAAUUCGAAGCAACGCGAAGAACCUUACCAAAUCUUGACAUCCUUUGACAACUCUAGAGAUAGAGCUUUCCCCUUCGGGGGACAAAGUGACAGGUGGUGCAUGGUUGUCGUCAGCUCGUGUCGUGAGAUGUUGGGUUAAGUCCCGCAACGAGCGCAACCCUUAAGCUUAGUUGCCAUCAUUAAGUUGGGCACUCUAAGUUGACUGCCGGUGACAAACCGGAGGAAGGUGGGGAUGACGUCAAAUCAUCAUGCCCCUUAUGAUUUGGGCUACACACGUGCUACAAUGGACAAUACAGAGGGCAGCGAAACCGCGAGGUCAAGCAAAUCCCAUAAAGUUGUUCUCAGUUCGGAUUGUAGUCUGCAACUCGACUACAUGAAGCUGGAAUCGCUAGUAAUCGUAGAUCAGCAUGCUACGGUGAAUACGUUCCCGGGUCU